This 771-nucleotide ribosomal RNA is filed under the name uncultured bacterium. RNAcentral describes it as "bacterial SSU rRNA". It matches the Rfam family "Bacterial small subunit ribosomal RNA", at positions 8 to 796 of the family's 1533-position model. The record is from RNAcentral.
AGAGUUUGAUCCUGGCUCAGGACGAACGCUGGCGGCGUGCUUAACACAUGCAAGUCGAACGGAAAGGCCCUUCGGGGUACUCGAGUGGCGAACGGGUGAGUAACACGUGGGUGAUCUGCCCUGCACUUUGGGAUAAGCCUGGGAAACUGGGUCUAAUACCGAAUAUGACCAUGCGCCUCCUGGUGUGUGGUGGAAAGCUUUUGCGGUGUGGGAUGGGCCCGCGGCCUAUCAGCUUGUUGGUGGGGCAAUGGCCUACCAAGGCGACGACGGGUAGCCGGCCUGAGAGGGUGACCGGCCACACUGGGACUGAGAUACGGCCCAGACUCCUACGGGAGGCAGCAGUGGGGAAUAUUGCACAAUGGGCGCAAGCCUGAUGCAGCGACGCUGCGUGAGGGAUGACGGCCUUCGGGUUGUAAACCUCUUUCAGCACAGACGAAGCGCAAGUGACGGUAUGUGCAGAAGAAGGACCGGCCAACUACGUGCCAGCAGCCGCGGUAAUACGUAGGGUCCGAGCGUUGUCCGGAAUUACUGGGCGUAAGGAGCUCGUAGGUGGUUUGUCGCGUUGUUCGUGAAAACUCACAGCUUAACUGUGGGCGUGCGGGCGAUACGGGCAGACUUGAGUACUGCAGGGGAGACUGGAAUUCCUGGUGUAGCGGUGGAAUGCGCAGAUAUCAGGAGGAACACCGGUGGCGAAGGCGGGUCUCUGGGCAGUAACUGACGCUGAGGAGCGAAAGCGUGGGGAGCGAACAGAAUUAGAUACCCUGGUAGUCC